Molecule: ribosomal RNA, 339 nt
Filed under: Triticum aestivum (bread wheat)
Lineage: Eukaryota; Viridiplantae; Streptophyta; Magnoliopsida; Poales; Poaceae
Description: partial small subunit ribosomal RNA
Source: RNAcentral
AUGGUCAUCGCGGAUGAAUCCAAAGGAAACUGGAGUUGCUGUUUUUCGAAGGUGUUCGGCGUCGAUCAAGACACGGCGAGGUGUUGGCGAGGUGUUUCGGAUUUGGGCAGGUUUUUCCGUGUUGUAGUUGUGUUGUUGUGUGUGGCUGUCCUGAGGAUAGCCGGAGGUGGUGUUAUGCUACGCUUGUUGUUCGCAGCGAGUGGUAGAUGUCAUGUACUAAUUUUCUCUCUUUCUAUAAAGCUAUGGUACGCGUUUCACAAAAAAAAAAAUAAAGCUAUGGCACGCAAUUUGCAUACCCUUGAAAAGAAAACACCUCUGCUCUCUAUAAAACACCGCUAG